Molecule: long non-coding RNA, 338 nt
Organism: Antechinus flavipes (yellow-footed antechinus)
Lineage: Eukaryota; Metazoa; Chordata; Mammalia; Dasyuromorphia; Dasyuridae
Exons: 2
Source: RefSeq, a predicted model, not a curated record
CCCGCGAGAGCUGGGGCUGCGGGUCUUGCUACCUGAAACUGGAGCGAUCCCUCUUGGGUCAUUUGUUUUAGUAAUGGUGCGUUAGAACAUCACUGACGUCUUGGUUUCUGGCCCCACCUGUUGCCCGAUCUAUUCCAGGUCUGGGAUUUCAAGCCUACCCUAGCCUUGGCCCCUGGAGAAGCUCCACCACAGGGGGCUUUAGAAUGACCUUCUGGAUGAACAAUUCCAAUUCUGAUGGACGGACUCUUUCCAACAAUGAGCUGAUGGAGGCCAGUUCCAAUGAUCUUGUAAUGAAUAGAGGAGAGGACUGUGGGAAUUAAAUAUGAAUCACAACAUAA